This 513-nucleotide ribosomal RNA is filed under the name uncultured bacterium. RNAcentral describes it as "partial 16S ribosomal RNA". It matches the Rfam family "Bacterial small subunit ribosomal RNA", at positions 28 to 523 of the family's 1533-position model. The record is from RNAcentral.
GAUGAACGCUGGCGGCGUGCCUAAUACAUGCAAGUCGAGCGAACAGACGAGGAGCUUGCUCCUCUGACGUUAGCGGCGGACGGGUGAGUAACACGUGGAUAACCUACCUAUAAGACUGGGAUAACUUCGGGAAACCGGAGCUAAUACCGGAUAAUAUAUUGAACCGCAUGGUUCAAUAGUGAAAGACGGUUUUGCUGUCACUUAUAGAUGGAUCCGCGCCGCAUUAGCUAGUUGGUAAGGUAACGGCUUACCAAGGCAACGAUGCGUAGCCGACCUGAGAGGGUGAUCGGCCACACUGGAACUGAGGCACGGUCCAGACUCCUACGGGAGGCAGCAGUAGGGAAUCUUCCGUAAUGGGCGAAAGCCUGACGGAGCAACGCCGCGUGAGUGAUGAAGGUCUUUGGAUCGUAAAACUCUGUUAUUAGGGAAGAACAAAUGUGUAAGUAACUAUGCACGUCUUGACGGUACCUAAUCAGAAAGCCACGGCUAACUACGUGCCAGCCGCCGCCGUAA